Oncorhynchus tshawytscha (Chinook salmon) is the source of this 3604-nucleotide long non-coding RNA. The record is from Ensembl. Lineage: Eukaryota; Metazoa; Chordata; Actinopteri; Salmoniformes; Salmonidae.
GAGCGGGAUGGAGCGGGACGCUGGCCUAUUGUGUUGCCCUGGCCCGGACGCUCCACCACCCAGACCCAGGACACCACCCAGCCUUUCAGCCCCACGAUGUGGCCAGAGUGGGGGGACAGGGGGGUACAUGGAGACACAGAGGAGCCUUGUCUGGGCUGACUCCUUCCUGGCUUGCCUGGCCUUGCCCCUACGCCCCCUAUCCACCUCCCCUUCCCAAAACACCACCUCCCGACUCCGUCGCACUCCUCGGAAUGACGGCUGACUUGACAGCAGCAAUAUGCUUUAAAGUGUCAAGUCAAGUCCCUCCAUUGUCUCUCUGAGUAGAGAGCCGAGGCACUGGAAUGCACAAUUGUGUGUGUAGUCAGACGUAAAGGAGCUGAGUUUGCGUGUUCUUUAUUUGCUUGUGUAUAUAUUACUAGUUUGUCUGCUAUCUUUUUUACAUGUCCACAUGAGAGAAGAAGAGUUCAUUCUCUAAGGCUGUCAUCAUGACAGAAACCCUCAGCACACUAUUUUCAGUUACCGCUACAAAAAAGGCAAAGAAAACAGGUGUGUUUUGAGAAGAGUCAAGUAAUGAGUGAUUUAAGGGCGGACAGUUUGGCCAGUCCUGUGAGUGAGGUAUGUGGUAAUGAGGGCUUAGAGGGAGAGCGUUGCUCCUGUGUGUAUAGUACCAUCUCCCAUAGCCCCAGGGUCUGACUGGCUCUGUGUAGGCUGACAGACUCCACCUGGGGGGGCAUCCUCUCCCGUGGAGGUCCUGGUAUUGUGGUGGUGGUGGUGGAGGGUUGAUGACACCGGCUCAGGGCAAGGAGGAAUGGGAGUUUGUUGGGUGUCUGAGUGAAGUGUGUGUUUGUUGUGUGUGCAUGGGUAUGAUACCGAGCCGUUUCUGAAGCCUUUAGGGGACAGGCGGUCUGGCACUAAUUGAGUUACAACCAGGUGUUGGAACUGGUUCAGGGAGCAGCAUAAACCCAUUUUAUUUUUAGAGGAACAGAAACAGAACCUGGAAAGAAAGUGAUCUCUAGUGUUGCGGAACAGAACCGUUACUUUUAAAUCUUGAGAACCAGUGUCUAGUAUAUACUGUAAUUCUGUAAUACAGUGACGUUAAACAUAUUCCAAUUCACAUCAUGUCAUGGUGCUCAGCACUUCAAGCCAAGCCCCCUCCACGUCCACUCCUCUCUCUCUCUCCCUGUGAAAUUUCAGUCACAUCUCUCGUCAGUCACAUCUCUCGCCUGCACUUAUCUGUCCUCAAACAUGUAAACAACUAGCUUACACGUUCCACAGCAAGCUGCUCUAUCCACGCUUAUCGGUGGACUAAAUGAAAGAAUGAUGUUGAUUUCACAGGGUUAAAAAAUGAACAAACCAUUACUUUUUUAGGAGGAUCGAACCGAUUCAGAACUUUAUUAUGCUGGUCGGAACACUGUAAAUAAAUAAAUAGGGGUUCUGCUCAGAAUGGAUCCUCUCUUUCUAUUGCAUCACGUAACACAGUACAGUAGUAUAUUCUCUAUGUGAUAUGCCAAUCCUGCUUGUGCUGUUUCAGAUGACGGUGACAGUGUCCUCCUCGUCCCGCUGUUCUCAGGUCAGCUCUAGCCAGUCCCAUGUGUUUGAUGAACUGGAGGCCAUCGCCCCGCGGACCCGCUCUUGUCUGUCCCUAGACAACCCACUCAGCCCAGCAGACUGCAGCCCACCUGGUACAGAGAUGUCCACAGGCUUGGCUGCUCUGACAGUGGGCUGUGACUCAGGGGACCUGGGCUCCCUGUCCCGUGUGCAGCUCCUGGACCGGUCGGACCCUGUGGAGCCCCACUGGCUCGCUGGUCAGGACAUGUACUCCCCAACAGAAGACGGAACAAAAGGCCACACAGCGGCGCUCCGAGCCAGAAGACCUCUGAGUCCAACGCUGUAUACUACAGGCGUCCUGCAACCCCUCACAGCUGGCAGCUGUGGAGACGACAGUGUGUCUGAGAGGUGUGUCGCCACAGGCAAAGUCCAGGGACAGGGUGACCACACAAUGCAGUGCCACACCGAGGAUGGUUCCAGGUCACCGUCGUCAUGGAUCAGUGAUUCCAGUCCGUCAGGCAUCAUAUCGGGGUCCACCAGUUCCCAAUAUGGGGAGGAGUCCGAGGGAAGUGACCAAACCAGCCAGGCCCUUACCUCCUUAAAUGACAGGGGUGAGUGACAUUUUAGUGAGAUGUCUUAAUGUGGGAUAGUAAAGUUUUCCCACUGUAUUAUUACCUCUAUUUUACACGCCUGCAAUGGAACGCUCAUAAUGCUCAUUGGACAUAAGACAGCCGUUUGUUGUGGUGGAGACCUAAACAUCCCGUAACCCCAAAAGACGGUCUUAUUUACUGCAGCUCUGCGAGAACAAACUUGUCACAUAAAAAAAGAUCCUCCCAGGUAUCCUUGGUGAUGGUCUGUGUGCUCGUGCACAAUGACCUCUGGGAGGCCAAAGACAUGGUCAGAGCCCAGGAGAGGGUCAUGGGGAGGGCGCUGAGGGGUCAGCCCCGGGUUCAGCGAGCCUUUGAGAGGUGCCCAGUGUGUGGGAUGGCUUUGUGUGGCCAUAGGUUAGGUGAGAUUGGGUUUCCAAGCGGAGGAACGGCACAGUUAAAACUCUCAAUAGAGCUCCCUAAGUAGUCCAUAGAGUGAAACUGUUAGGACUCAAUGUGACACUGUGGGGACAGCAUUGUAGAGUGACAGCAUGGCGUUCCAGUAUGAAUUUACGAAUCCAAUGGACUUUGACCUAAAAGUAUGUAUCCAAAUAAAGAAUAUACGACAAAUGUGAAAUACAGACCCUGUUGUCGUCGUUAUCAGUUUUUUGUUAUAACAGUUUCAUAGCUUUAUAAUGUGGCUUGUUCCAAACAAACUCCACCUGUGCAUGAACCAAUAGGUAGAAUACAGGCCAAUGCCACUUAGGCCAACGACUUACCCCGUCAGAAACAUCAUGCAAUAAGAUAAGUCAGUAAGCUAUGUGGUCUGUCCCCAGUGAGCUCUCUGAUAAGGUCUUUGUCCCUCUCUCUCUGUCAUAACUAAUUCAUAGGUACUAUAAUCCCCUUCAUAAUUGUUUCAUGACUGUUUCAAUUCGGCCCCAUCACUCCUGUGUUUACCCCAGAGUUUAGCAUUCAGCUGUUACUGAAGACGUCAGUGCCCUAAGUGAAUAUUGUUAUGAGGCGGGGCCACAAAGAGGACUAAUCUGGACUGACCAUGGUAGAUUGUUCCGGAAGGCUUCGGGGAGCCACUAGCUGGACAGAUUAUGGCCGGUGAAAAAGAAGGGAAAGACACUGGAGCAGAGAUUAGUCGUGUUCCAAGCAGAAUGGUGUCCCCCCCUCCCCCAGAGGACCACACACUGACAAUGUAGCUGUGUCACCAUUGUCUCUAAACCACUGCUACUGUGGGCUCAGCGGCCAUUGUCUCCUCCGAAAUCCACCAUCGUUUUCUCUCCCUCCUUGCCCUUUUUCAAACCUGGAUUCAUCCAGGCCCUUUGAUUGGCACUUGUCAGCCGCUGAUAGAGAGGAUGACGUGUUGGAAAACGAACCGGCCAAUAAAGGAGUCCUGAAAAGGCCAAUCCCUCCCCAUGAAUAAUAAUCUGUACGGAUUUGCCUUUUUCCUCCGCCCCUCC